AUCGUUUUCAUGUCAAUCCCAAUAUCUUAACGGGUUGUGUCGUGUAACACCCGUUAAAGUAAACGGGUAAUAUGACCCGACCCAAAAUUGACCUGUUAAUAUUGUCAGGUAAUAUGACUCGACUCGUUACCCAUUAAAGAAAAUAUAUUUUAAAUCAAUAAAUAAUGAAAAUGAAAAACAUAACUUGAUCCACAAAAAAUAAAAAAACAUAAUACUAAAUUGGUAUAAGCAUACCACACUGUCACAAAAAUAUUAUUACAAAACAUAAAUUAAAAAUUAAAAAAAAAUACCUUUCAAGUAUUACAUACUCCAAAAUAAGAGCGUAAUGAAAAACAUUAGUACAUUACUAAAAAAUACCAAAUGUUCAAGCAUAUGUAAAAUGAAGGGAGUUGUGUUCCAAGGUUGAGGAACCUUGCACGUUUAUAUAUGUUUUCACAUUUUUUAGACUUGUACAUUAAUGAUUAUGAAUUUUAUUUAUUAUGAACUCCCUUAAAAAUACUAUUCAUGAGAAUUUAUAUGGUUUUAAAAAUUCAAAUGAUGAUGUACCCAUACUCAUAGCAUAGAGGAUGCGAUCACGAGCCUUUACAUAUUUUUCACAUUUUUUUGCAUUUGUAAAUUAAUUAUUAUAUUUUUUUAAUGUGUUUGGUAUUCUAAAAUUACUUGAUACUUUUAUUUUUAAUAUGUUUUAUAUUUUUUUUAAUCUCACUCUUUGCCUAUAGUAUACUAUAAAUGACACAUCCCGACCCGAA
This 749-nucleotide long non-coding RNA is filed under the name Malus domestica (apple). RNAcentral describes it as "long non-coding RNA (MDOM_LNC008471)". The record is from RNAcentral. Lineage: Eukaryota; Viridiplantae; Streptophyta; Magnoliopsida; Rosales; Rosaceae.